GAUGGACCACGGAAAGAGAAUUAUAUAUUUUCGUGUACUAAAACUUUCAAGAUCUUCUGAUCAAUGUGAACCCUGUAAAACAAAGCCACCUUCUACGCUUGUCUGUGGUGUGGGCAGCGGUUGACGCUGCACACACAUGCAGCAGCACACACAGUGUAAUUACAGAGGCAUUUUAAACACAGGGCCGGCUCAGCUGACAGAGAACAUCAAAGUCGAGGACGGACCUGAGCGACUCGUUCUGAGCAUGGCAGAUUCACAUACGCCGCCGCACGGUGCGCACUCAUUCAAAAAUGAUAACAGAACUACUCUGUCUACCUCAGACAAAAGUAGAGACAGGCAAAGAUGAUGGGGGGGGGGAGGGGUUAGCCCCUCCUUACUGCUGUAAAAGAAGGAGGAAAAAAGGAAAAGAAAAGGAGAGGAAGAAAGGAAAUCACAGCCAUACGGGCUACACUCCCCCAGCUGAACUGUAUCUGCGUUUUCAACGGUGAGAGAACGGACUCUAUAUGGCGACGAGCUCCUCCCUCCGCCCUGCCUCAUCUGUCAGCCAUUAGUUAAUCAGAGCUGCUAAGACGGCGCACAGGGAGCUGGCACAAGGCGUGGGACCAGAGGACAGCUUCACCUCCGAGAGCCAGGAGAGGGCAAGGACUCUGGGACUUCUCGUUCACUGAUCCACAGCUGGGCUGCCUCACUCACCAGCACCCACUCAGGGCCGAAAGACACACAACCUCAAGAAGACCCCGCCCACUUCUUCACAGUACACAGGUGAGCCAAAAAGGGACACAUGGAAACAGUUAAGCAUCAGAAAGAAACUCGACUUAAUAUCUUGUCAUUCGUCCAAUGCGCCAAACAAACGGUUAACACUUCACAGAGAAUUUCCAUCUGUUCAACGAUCAGAUGCACUGAUCACUAAGGCCUUAAGCUGUACCUUAACAUUAUUUAAUCCUGUGAGAACCAUAAUUACACUACAAAAGACGUUCUGUAGGGUGAUCAUAAAAAAAAAAUACAGAGCCUCUUAAACUUCAUACAGUAAAGCGUGUUCUGUCAAAGCAAAGGAUAAACUAACGUUCAUAUCGGAUAUUGUGUGCAAUUAGAAAACUACACCUUUAAAGUCGCAUCUGUACGACCUAUUCGCGAUCACCUCAAAAGAAAUAAUGCAUCGUUAAAUGGAAAAAAAAAAAUGCUAAAAGGUGAUUUAAAGCGCUUUCUAAACAGGACCAUAUCUUUAAAACGUGAGAGCCAAGGUCGAAUUCCAGGCACAUUGCAGCGCGCUCCUAAUGCAAGAGGAUGGUAAUACCGAGCAUAUGGCAACUGGAGUUACGUAGACGCUUCAAAAGAGGUGGGUGCUGGAUGGAGCAAGAACAAACUUGCAAGUGUACACUGUGUUAACAGAAGUGCAGAAUUAUACCCUGGGCUACGCCGGUGUCAAGGUUGUCUGUCUGCUCCUUAUAAGGCCAAUGGAUUGCCUAUGCAAAAAAUGAUCUAUGCCGCUUUGUUAGAAUAAGCAAGUGAUAACUGGGAAGCGAAUGUGCUUGUAGGUAAUGUCAUCAGUAUCACUGUGUUCUCUUCAAGUGCAGAUCAGAGGAGGAAGAUUGAGACAAGAGGGAGGAAGAUUAACACAAAAAAAAAAGUCCUGGAACAUCGAGGCUGCUUUUCUGUUCAGUCUUGUUUUGCGAGAAGUCAAAACAACACAUGUUGUGAGAGUGAGAACAGCUGGUACGAGCGACGUCAUGGGGCAGUGGAAUGUCAGAAGUCAUUGAUCUUUUAUCCACCAGUGCUUUCCACAGCCACCCAGACCCUUUCCAAACCAAGCUCAGGGACAAUAUGAGAGUCCAGCAAUGGUGUUUGUGACUUAUCUCAUACAACGCCUCGUCAUACCAGACAUUUUGAACCGUGGAAAUCAUAGUAUGUGUUAAACAGAGACAAAAAAAAGGGGAGGAAUGCAGUGCAGAUUAAGUGUUUCCAAAUGCAAAGUAUUAAGUAAGUAGUACAGUUACAAAAUCUUAAGAUGAACUGCAGAUGGGAGAUGUUGUUUUCAUUAUUUGUCCCAAGAUAUAGUGGAUUAUAAUGUGGAAAUAAUUCCCUUCGCGUCCCAGCAAAUGCCACUCCUGACAGUGCACUUGUGAUUGGCUCAAACUAAACAGCAUAUUCUGAACUCCAUGCCAAAGUUUGACACUGCCAUCUCCAAGGAGUUAAAUAAACACCUGGUUGAGUAGGCAUAUACAGUUUCCUUUUUAAGUCAACACCAGUCAGAAAAGAUACACCAAGCAACCAUAAGUCAAUACAAAAUGACAAAACAGGCAAGUUUUACCGUCUGUCUAAACAUUCCACUGAGAGCGUUUUCCAUUACCAUGUUAUACUGAAACAUCCGCUAGUGCUUACAUGAACCCCACGCUGCAGAUGGACAAAAAGGGAUUUUAAAAAAAGAAAACAAAAAUCCAAUUCCUGAUGACAGAACUUGAAAAAUACAAAGGGCAGGCCAGUUAUAAAGUAGUGACCUUUGACAUAACACGUCCAAGUCUGACUCCCUCUUCCUGCUAAAUGUUACACAGCUGCUUUUUUAAUCUGUCAGAGCAACUAGUUUACCACAGUUUGCGAAGAGUCUUCAUCUUACAAGACACUUAUUAUUACUGUUAUUAAGAUCCACGUAUCUGCUGUAUGUGUGUUUCAUUACCACAGUAUAACACUAAAGUAUUCCUUAUGUAGCACCUGACCACCCUUACUGCAUAACUACAUCCACUGGAUCUAUUUUUGAAGCUCUGCUGGGCUAAAUCUAUGGCUGUUAGUCUUCCCAACGGACUCUUAAAGGAGUCUGAAAUAAUGCACAUCAGGUAGUAAAGUCCUUUAAGAUUCCAGAAGGAGGCGCUUGGAGAUUUGACAAAAAAAAGAAAAAGCAAUAGCUGAUAACAAGAGACAAAUAGAGCCAACAAGUAGUCGCAAACAGCAACUUCUCAAAAGUUAAAAUGCCAAAACAUCAUCACACUUCUAUACAGCUGCUUCAUUUGAUCAAUGAAUCAAUGAAUCGAUUCAUUGAUCAAUUAAUCAUUCACAAAACGUUUCAUCAGAAAUGUUUACAGCUGGUUGUUUUUAGUCCGAGUGAAACUGUCAAACAUUUCAUGUUUUCAGUUUCUCAAAAGUGAGGAUUUGCUGCUUUAUUUUGUCUUACAUUACAGUAAAUUAUAAAUAUUUGAUUUAGUAAAUGCAACCACUUAAAACUCUGGGAAACGUGGGAAGACUAUGGUCUUAAACUAAACUAAACACUUAAACACGGUUGAAUGUUGUUUUUUGAUUUUUGUUACAAGCGGCAAAGACAUUGGGAGAAAUGUUUCAGAUGAGUGAGUGCAUCACGUACACACUCACAGACUGAAAAGUCCUCACACCUGCGGUCCAGUGAACACAAGACCUGACAGGUAGACCUUGAACCCCUUCGAGUAAGUACGACACGUUCAGAAAAACAGAGCAAGGUGAGUACAACUGAUCCCAAACCUUCUCCACUGAGGAGCAGAAGUUUAUGAAGAACUCACUGGAUGUUACAGCUGAAUUGAAGAACCAUGUUACUUUACCAUGGGUGACAACACCUAAUAUAUCACUGUCUCUCUCAUAAAAGACAUAUUGAGUUUCACUUUCUCAACACAAUCCAUCGGCUUGAGGUUAAAACAACUUUCUAAUGUUUGACCAACAAGUUGAGGAAAAGCAGGCGCUUUUUACCUGUGUCAAAGUGAGGCCAUGUUCCCCAUCAUUGGUAGUUCUUGGGGUAGAGCGACCUAAGUGCUUCCAGACAUUCACGCCCUGUCUCCUUUCAUUUCAUCUCUUUGCAUCUCCCCAACAAAAUAACAUCUACCCUCCAAGGUUCCUCACUUCAUGUCUUCUUUUGUCCCGAGUAAAAUGCACAGUGCUUCCAAGUCAACUCUUGUUUCUUUAGGUUGAGUUUCACUCGCACACUCUUUGAGCUACAGCGAGCUGUGAUGACGUCUGUAUUAGACUGUGCAAUAGGGUAACCCCUUUUCUCCUUCAGCCAUGCUCGAUCCAAACACAUUAACCAACAUCUCGCUACAAUCUGUUUUUCUUUGCCUGCAAAAGAGCCACUGUGCUCGUCUUCAGACCAGCAAAUCGUCAACUGAACACUUUUGCUUUCUCUCAAAGGCCAAAGUCAAACAUUAUCUCCCAACUCAGAUUCUAAAUGAAGGCUUGGCAAGAACCACAAUGGAGAGGACUAGGGGCAUGGGUGGGCUGACUGAUCCAGCCACCGCUUUAAUUGGUCACACUCGACUGGCGCAUGGGCAGGAUGAGGAAACACAAGCUCAAUGAUGUCAUGACCAACUGACCCCGGGGUGACAGGUUUGGAGAAUGUUCUUGCCCACAACCCUCAGGCCAAAGUCAAGUAUGGCAAUGUUGCACAUGUGGAUUUCAUCUGAAGCGGCGUGAUUAGUUCACAGAUGCUCAACUGUGAUUCCCCCACCAUGGGAAACCCACUCUGGACAGGAAACGGCAUGUUUUUGUAAGCAACAAACAGGCAUAAAUUACUAAAAUGGUGCCUCCGUAACCAAUUCAUCACACAGAGCCUCAUUGUUUUUAAUUCUUCAAAUUUGACCUCGACAUUGCUUUUAAGGUAGUGUCAUUUGUUCAUAAUAUUUACAUUCUGCUUCUUGGUUUAUCUAAACUGUGUGUCUGCUAUGCUCUGCUAUGUUGUGCAAUAAACGCGAUCAUUGUUUUGUGUCAUUUUUUUGUACGUGACAAAUGUGUUUUAAUGACUUGUGUUUUUGAAAAUAAAUCAGGCUGUCACAGCACAAUUAAGAUGAUCAAGGGUCCUGGAAGAAGAAAAAAAAACUCAUUUUGAGACUGUGGGACUUGUUUUUGUAUAAGUGAUGCAGACAUAAGUGAAAAAAAUAAGGGCUUACACUCCUUGAUCAUGUUUAUUAGGAAGCUGUAUCCAUUGGUAAAUGAUGGUAGUAUGUAUACUGUACAAUGGUGGUAGUAUAUAUACUGCCAUCAUUAAUACAAUAGCUAUAAAACACAUCUAUUUAUAUGUAUCGUAGCUUUAAGAGUGUGAUAAUGAAAGUGACAUAUUAAAUAUUGAGCUUGACUAAAAGUAAUCUUAUCUGCAGAAGUGUAAGUGUGACUUUUUCUACUUUUGCUAAAAGGAUUUUGUUGAUGCGUGACUUUUGAAAACCGAUGAGACUAAUAUUGUUGGUGUAAGAGUUUGCAUGAAGCAACAUCUUUGUGAAAAACAUGAAGACCACCAGAAGAGGCCAUUACAUGAGGUAAGACUAUAACCUAUGAAGCCGCAAGUAAAACAUUUAUGAGAAGUUUGGAUGGAUACAAAAACAACCCACUGUGGCCUUCAUUCUGUAAUGUCACCAAGACAACACAACUGAAUAUUAAAAACGUACAUAAAAGGAAUUCUGUAUAACGUGUAUGUAGCUACUGUUAUGAUUGAGGUCAUUACAUACAUAUACAUACAUAUGCAUAUAACUGCAGUUUUUAAGUGCAUUCAAUUUAUGAUUUACUGCAUUUAGUAAAUGAGAAGAUUCCUAUUGUCGAAUCUACUGUCAAAUUUAGCUAUGUGGACUUUUGGAGGUUACAAGAUGUCUAUUGCAAAACAAAUGAAACUGUUUCGAAAACUACUUGUAAUUUUCAGGCGCUUCAAAAACCAACGUCCACAAUAAAUUCUGCAUUGAGAGCCUAUUGUAGGGAUGUCUUUUGGAGCACUUCAUGUAAACAACCCUUGCCAGCAUGAAUUAAUACUAACUACCAGUGUAGUAAAAGUAGUCUUGUGUCAGUCUUCUGCCAAAUGCAUUACAGAGAGCUCCAUUAAUACAAUGGUUAACAGAUGUGCCACCCAGUGCCAAAUGUUGAUUCGGCCUGUGUAUGUUUUCUCCAGGGAGAUUUCAAAAUAAAAUGUUGAAACACA
Solea senegalensis (Senegalese sole) is the source of this 5908-nucleotide long non-coding RNA. RefSeq lists it as uncharacterized. The record is from RefSeq and is a predicted model, not a curated record. NCBI's taxonomy places the organism in Eukaryota, Metazoa, Chordata, Actinopteri, Pleuronectiformes, Soleidae. The transcript is spliced from 2 exons.